UACGAAGGGGGCUAGCGUUGCUCGGAAUCACUGGGCGUAAAGCGCACGUAGGCGGAUUGUUAAGUCAGGGGUGAAAUCCUGGAGCUCAACUCCAGAACUGCCUUUGAUACUGGCGAUCUUGAGUCCGGGAGAGGUGAGUGGAACUCCGAGUGUAGAGGUGAAAUUCGUAGAUAUUCGGAAGAACACCAGUGGCGAAGGCGGCUCACUGGUCCGGUACUGACGCUGAGGUGCGAAAGCGUGGGGAGCAAACAGG
This 253-nucleotide ribosomal RNA is filed under the name uncultured bacterium. Its description in RNAcentral is "partial 16S ribosomal RNA". It matches the Rfam family "Bacterial small subunit ribosomal RNA", at positions 524 to 776 of the family's 1533-position model. The record is from RNAcentral.